UACGUAGGGUGCAAGCGUUGUCCGGAAUUAUUGGGCGUAAAGAGCUCGUAGGCGGUCUGUCGCGUCGGAUGUGAAACCCCUGGGCUUAACCCUGGGCCUGCAUUCGAUACGGGCAGACUAGAGUUCGGUAGGGGAGACUGGAAUUCCUGGUGUAGCGGUGAAAUGCGCAGAUAUCAGGAGGAACACCGGUGGCGAAGGCGGGUCUCUAGGCCGACACUGACGCUGAGGAGCGAAAGCGUGGGGAGCGAACAGG
Molecule: ribosomal RNA, 253 nt
Filed under: uncultured bacterium
Lineage: Bacteria
Description: partial 16S ribosomal RNA
Rfam family: Bacterial small subunit ribosomal RNA
Source: RNAcentral